Molecule: ribosomal RNA, 440 nt
Filed under: uncultured bacterium
Lineage: Bacteria
Description: partial 16S ribosomal RNA
Rfam family: Bacterial small subunit ribosomal RNA
Source: RNAcentral
CCUACGGGAGGCUGCAGUAGGGAAUAUUGCUCAAUGGGGGAAACCCUGAUGCAGCAACGCCGCGUGGGGGAUGAAGUAUUUCGGUAUGUAAAGCUCUAUCAGCAGAGAAGAAAAUGACGGUACCUAACUAAUAAGCCCCGGCUAACUACGUGCCAGCAGCCGCGGUAAUACGGAGGGGGCAAGCGUUAUCCGGAUUUACUGGGCGUAAAGGGCGCGUAGGCGGGUAUGCAAGUCUGAUGUGAAAGCCCAUGGCUUAACCAUAGAACUGCUUUUGAAACUGUAAAUCUAGAGUGCAGGAGAGGUAAGUGGAAUUCUUGGUGUAGGGGUGAAAUCCGUAGAGAUUAGGAGGAAUACUCGUUGCGAAGGCGGCCUACUAGAACGUAACUGACGCUGAGGCUCGAAGGCGUGGGGAGCAAACAGGAUUAGAUACCCGGGUAGUC